This is a long non-coding RNA of Paramormyrops kingsleyae, 1693 nucleotides long. RefSeq lists it as uncharacterized. NCBI's taxonomy places the organism in Eukaryota, Metazoa, Chordata, Actinopteri, Osteoglossiformes, Mormyridae. The record is from RefSeq and is a predicted model, not a curated record.
CUGGAUCCUGAGGUUGAUCUCUGUUGGCACAGUUGCCCAGACACACUUACAAGCUUAUCAGCCUAAUGGGUUUCAGUCCAUUACAAUGAACAAUGGGAUUCAGUCUAUUACAAUGAACACUGUGUGACCAAUUUCAGGGUGCAGGUGAGCACCUAUGGGAGAUAUGAGAAACCCACCUUUUACCAUGGCAUUCAAAGCGAAGAUGUUUCAGACAUAACACAUCGUGACACUGGAACAGAGCUAAACUCUUAAAGAAAGGAGGGGCGACGAGCAAAAAGGAACUAACACAAACACAGCGUGGAGACAAGAAGCAACGGAGCAACCAAUCAUCACACCAGUACAAGAAGCUCUUUUCCACCUACCACUGCAAGGCCAGAUCCACGCGUCCAAUUGCGAGGCUGGAGCUGGUUUCAGACGAGAACUGUGACCCGACCACAGCAACAACCAGCACUCAGGUGGAAACCAGAAUCUCCUGAGGAAACCCAUGUGACCUGAGGAGAAUAUGCAAGCCGCACAUAAACAGAGGCAAGACGAGAACGACAGUGUGACAGUGCUACAUGUGGCCGCCCAAGGGCAGUAACUCUUACAGGUCAAAUCUUUAAAAGCAAAAAACCCUGAGAAGUGAACAGCAUUAGUAUGUUGCUGAAAUGUGCAAAGUGCUUCACUCUCUCACUCUUAUGCUCCUUCAGCCUUUUAAUCAGGGACAGUCCAAUAAGAGGCACUCCUGCUGUAAUCAGAAAGGCUGCAGCCCCAAAUAUAAGAGGCAGCUACUCCUCAGGCCGUAAGAUGUGUAAAGCGCGGGGCACCUCGGACAGCGUCACCGCGAAGCCGUGAUUAACGCGGCAUCUGCGAGGAAAGCAGGGCAGAACGUCAAGCGCUGCAGUUAGACCCGGCAAGGAGGAGCCCCGUCUCCGGGCCGAGUGCGAAUUCACGACACUCAUUGCAAUCCAUCCUUAUCAGUCACAGUGAAAGCAGAACAAAUUGCCCAGGAAUGUCUAGGACAUUCUGCAAGGACUUUGCAGUCUUAAAAGAUGAGCUGAAGCAGGCAUGGAGAGCCUGUAUCCUUUCAUUACGUUUAUUUUAUGGACGCUUUUACACAAAGCAAUGUACAAGAGAGGACAGCUUGGGAUCAGAGAGCAGGUCAGCCAGUGUCCCUGAAGCAGCUGGGGUUAAGGGCCUUCCUCAAGGGCCCAACAGUGAUAUGAUUACUGGGCAGGCCAUGGGAUUUGAACCCGUGACCUUCUGGGCAGAUCCGUACCUUGCUGGACUCCACACCACAUACAGAACCACUCGACUCGGCCCUCUCUCAUCCUGUUCAGUCUGUGCAGGUAUCAGGAAACGAAUCAACAGCGAAACAGCAGGAUAGGCAUCAGGUGAGGAUGUGUAAGUGCAUGUCAGCUCCCAGUGUAUGAUGUGUGUCAGAAGAGGACAUGCAGCAGGCCAGGGGAGGCCCUUCUGGGUAGAACCCGUAGCACAGGUCCCAGGUCAGUCUGCGCGUGUGCUCCUUGCGCCAAGGUUAUUCCUUUCCAAGCUAAUUGAUCCGCGAGUGUUUAAUGCGCUUUGAAAUGAGCUGCUCCCCUCGCGCUAAUAGAGCAGAAUUAAUCUAAUGGCAGGUACAAGACGUGAGGUCUGUCAUCUCCCUCCCGACGCCGAUCCGACGUGAAUAACGAGCCCACCUGGCUGCUGGAAUUCU